CCUACGGGUGGCUGCAGUGAGGAAUAUUGGUCAAUGGGCUUACGCUUGAACCAGCCAAGUCGCGUGAGGGAAGACUGCCCUAUGGGUUGUAAACCUCUUUUGUCAGGGAGCAACGCCGGCCACGUGUAGCCGGACUGAGAGUACCUGGAGAAAAAGCAUCGGCUAACUCCGUGCCAGCAGCCGCGGUAAUACGGAGGAUGCGAGCGUUAUCCGGAUUUAUUGGGUUUAAAGGGUGCGUAGGCGGAUUGCCAAGUCAGCGGUAAAAUCGCGGGGCUCAACCUCGCUCCGCCGUUGAAACUGGCGUUCUUGAGUGGGCGAGAAGUAUGCGGAAUGCGUGGUGUAGCGGUGAAAUGCAUAGAUAUCACGCAGAACUCCGAUUGCGAAGGCAGCAUGCCGGCGCCCAACUGACGCUGAAGCACGAAAGCGUGGGGAUCGAACAGGAUUAGAUACCCGUGUAGUC
This 460-nucleotide ribosomal RNA is filed under the name uncultured bacterium. Its description in RNAcentral is "partial 16S ribosomal RNA". It matches the Rfam family "Bacterial small subunit ribosomal RNA", at positions 338 to 795 of the family's 1533-position model. The record is from RNAcentral.